GGGGAAUAUUGCACAAUGGGGGAAACCCUGAUGCAGCAACGCCGCGUGAAGGAUGAAGGCCUUUGGGUCGUAAACUUCUGUUCUAAGGGAAGAUAGUGACGGUACCUUAGGAGCAAGUCCCGGCUAACUACGUGCCAGCAGCCGCGGUAAUACGUAGGGGGCAAGCGUUAUCCGGAAUUAUUGGGCGUAAAGAGUACGUAGGUGGUUUUCUAAGCACGGGGUUUAAGGCAAUGGCUUAACCAUUGUUCGCCUUGUGAACUGGAAGACUUGAGUGCAGGAGAGGAAAGCGGAAUUCCUAGUGUAGCGGUGAAAUGCGUAGAUAUUAGGAGGAACACCAGUGGCGAAGGCGGCUUUCUGGACUGUAACUGACACUGAGGUACGAAAGCGUGGGGAGCAAAC
This 399-nucleotide ribosomal RNA is filed under the name uncultured bacterium. Its description in RNAcentral is "bacterial SSU rRNA". It matches the Rfam family "Bacterial small subunit ribosomal RNA", at positions 356 to 773 of the family's 1533-position model. The record is from RNAcentral.